Molecule: ribosomal RNA, 301 nt
Filed under: uncultured bacterium
Lineage: Bacteria
Description: partial 16S ribosomal RNA
Rfam family: Bacterial small subunit ribosomal RNA
Source: RNAcentral
CAGCCGCCGCGGUAACACGGAGGGUGCAAGCGUUAAUCGGAAUUACUGGGCGUAAAGCGCACGCAGGCGGUCUGACAAGUCAGAUGUGAAAUCCCCGGGCUUAACCUGGGAACUGCAUUUGAAACUGUCAGGCUGGAGUCUUGUAGAGGGGGGUGGAAUUCCAGGUGUAGCGGUGAAAUGCGUAGAGAUCUGGAGGAAUACCGGUGGCGAAGGCGGCCCCCUGGACAAAGACUGACGCUCAGGUGCGAAAGCGUGGGGAGCAAACAGGAUUAGAUACCCCUGUAGUCCCUGUCUCUUAUAC